GACGAACGCUGGCGGCGUGCUUAACACAUGCAAGUCGUACGGUAAGGCCCUUUCGGGGGUACACGAGUGGCGAACGGGUGAGUAACACGUGAGUAACCUGCCCACAACUUUGGGAUAACGCUAGGAAACUGGUGCUAAUACUGGAUAUGUGCUCCUGCUGCAUGGUGGGGGUUGGAAAGCUCCGGCGGUUGUGGAUGGACUCGCGGCCUAUCAGCUUGUUGGUGGGGUAGUGGCCUACCAAGGCGGCGACGGGUAGCCGGCCUGAGAGGGUGACCGGCCACAUUGGGACUGAGAUACGGCCCAGACGCCUACGGGAGGCAGCAGUGGGGAAUAUUGCACAAUGGGCGCAAGCCUGAUGCAGCAACGCCGCGUGCGGGAUGACGGCCUUCGGGUUGGAAACCGCUUUCAGCAGGGACGAAGCUUUUUGUGACGGUACCUGCAGAAGAAGCACCGGCUAACUACGUG
RNAcentral lists this ribosomal RNA (465 nucleotides) under uncultured bacterium. RNAcentral describes it as "partial 16S ribosomal RNA". It matches the Rfam family "Bacterial small subunit ribosomal RNA", at positions 28 to 507 of the family's 1533-position model. The record is from RNAcentral.